AACGAACGCUGGCGGCAUGCCUAACACAUGCAAGUCGAACGAGACCUUCGGGUCUAGUGGCGCACGGGUGCGUAACGCGUGGGAACCUGCCCUUAGGUUCGGAAUAACUCCCCGAAAGGGGUGCUAAUACCGGAUAAUGUCUUCGGACCAAAGAUUUAUCGCCUUUGGAUGGGCCCGCGUUGGAUUAGCUAGUUGGUAGGGUAAAAGCCUACCACGGCGACGAUCCAUAGCUGGUCUGAGAGGAUGAUCAGCCACACUGGGACUGAGACACGGCCCAGACUCCUACGGGAGGCAGCAGUGGGGAAUAUUGGACAAUGGGCGAAAGCCUGAUCCAGCAAUGCCGCGUGAGUGAUGAAGGCCUUAGGGUUGUAAAGCUCUUUUACCCGGGAUGAUAAUGACAAUACCGGGAGAAUAAGCUCCGGCUAACUCCGUG
This 433-nucleotide ribosomal RNA is filed under the name uncultured bacterium. RNAcentral describes it as "partial 16S ribosomal RNA". It matches the Rfam family "Bacterial small subunit ribosomal RNA", at positions 29 to 507 of the family's 1533-position model. The record is from RNAcentral.